This is a long non-coding RNA of Oryzias melastigma (Indian medaka), 2105 nucleotides long. RefSeq lists it as uncharacterized. The transcript is spliced from 2 exons. NCBI's taxonomy places the organism in Eukaryota, Metazoa, Chordata, Actinopteri, Beloniformes, Adrianichthyidae. The record is from RefSeq and is a predicted model, not a curated record.
UAGUAGACAUUUUUAAAGAGGCGUCUAUAAUCAAUUCUGUUGAAAUUAAUGGAUACCUCUCUCUGUACUAAACAUGAGUUUUAAAUAAAAAAUAAUAAAAAACAUCCUGAUUGUUCAUGUUCUAUAGACUGCAUUACAAAGAUUUAAUAAUACAUAGUUUAAAAAGUGUUCUAACAAUCUAUUUGUUUCAUCUUGAAAAGAUUCCCUUUAAACUAAUGAGCGUCUCCAGUGAGAAAAUGACUUCAUCUCACACAGAAUGACCUUUUUUUAGUGCUCCUGCCACAGCUCUCAGGCCACUCCUUUUUAAAAAGGAGAAUCGAUCGCGCCCUCAUCACUGUACUCGGCCGAUGGGGCUUCAAGCAGAAGUAAAUACUUAAUGACGCUCCUCGGCUGGCAGGUAGACCGAAGCCUCGACUCUCACUUUCAGAGCCACCUUAGUCCUGACUCAUUUCAAUUUAGGGAUCCGGCACUUUUAAUCUUGCAAUAUUAUUCUUGCCUCCAGAGGCUUUCUUGGGUGCAGCUGUUAUUAAUCUUCGGUGUACAAGCAAUUUCUCUAAAAGCCCCCAUUUGUUUUUUACGACUCCAUUGAGAGAGGACGGCGUGGUAGCAGGAAGCGUGCCUGUAAACAAGCCAUGAAAGGUUAUGUCCCUGUCAGCAUUCACUUCUGGCCUCUCCUUGCUUUCCAGAGAAUUAAAAAAAAAAAAGAAAAAAAGCGAGGGGAGGGAGUUAUAAGAAAGCAAACUAACGAAAGUGGCGUGCAAAAGUGAUUCAAACGAGGCUCUCCGUCUCACUGCAGGAGGAAAAGCUUUCAUUGUUUACCAGAAUUUGCCAAAAAUCAAGCUUGAUGACAAAUAUAUCAGUGGCAUGUUGAUGUACAAAUACACACAAAUCCAGUUUUUGGUGGUUCUGAAACCCAAAAAGUAAAGAAACAAAUUAAAGACAUCUCAAUACAUUCCUCUUUGAUUCAUUUAUUUUCAUACAUCGCCGUGUUCCAGGUUCGGCUCAUUUGCAUCCAGCUCCCGUCAGACGUGGAAAGUAUUGUCCAGUGUGUGGGAAAGCUGCUAUAAUGACAUCAUUAAAGAAGAACCGGGUCCAUACAAAGAAAAGAGUCAGAGAAGGCCAGUAAAAGAAUCUCAGCAGGGGAAGGCUCACGUUGAGUCAGUUGCUCACCAAUUACCGUGAAACAAGACAAACAGCCAUUAGAGUGUGGACCAUUAGGCAGUAGGGAGAGCAGUCAGUGGCUGGUUGGCUUUAAAUGACGGUCACUUCGUAAUGGCCAAUCAGUCCUCUUAUUCUUUUUGGUUUAUUGAUAAUCUCUCUUAUUCGAGUCACCUUAUUACUGUUGGAUAUUUUAUUUUCUUCAUCGCUCUACCGAGUAAUUCUGCAUAUUUAUUAUGAGGAGCAUUUUAUAUACUGAUGAUUACUUAGCGUUGUUUUUAUGUACUUUAACUGGUUGAAUGAUGUAAUCGCUGCAAAUGUAGCAGGUGUUUGGUUUAGUUUAUUUAAUUCCACCAAAUUUGAUGUAAACAGUUUUUUAUGAACAUUUCUACCUGGGUGUUAGUCUGUCCGAGGGUCCGUGAACUCACCACGGUGACGCAGCAGACAGUGCUGCACAUGCGCACUCAGACUGCUGCAAACUGUGGCCGAGUUGUUAGGGAGAAGCACUGACAAAUCCCGGACAGCCGUGUAACAUUUGUGUUUUCUGUCGACCAGGUAUGAUGUUAGUCUCUCAUUUUCUCAUGUUCUUUUCAUGUUUUAUUUCACGUGCUGUGGGGGGAGGUACAUGCGCACUCAGACUGCUGCAAACUGUGGCCGAGUUGUUAGGGAGACGCACUGACAAAUCCCGGACAGCCGUGUAACAUUUGUGUUUUCUGUCGACCAGAAUAAAGAAACUAAAUCAGCAUCGGAGCCUGAUCUUCAUUCACUGACCUGAACACAGCGCAGACCAACACAGUCGAACCAGUUACACAAAGAUAGUUGGACAUCCCAAAAUAGUGAUGAUAAAACUCUUCCAUCAUAUCUUUCAGGCCACCUCUUUAUGUUUUUAGUUGUGUCUGUCAGGUAUGAUGGAGAUAAACUAAAUGAGGGCUACUUUAAAAAAAAAA